AGAUCGAUGUUCCUUUUUAGAUCAUUUUCAGCUUGAAGGAUUUUACGCCAAUUCAUCGGAAUUCAGUAAAACUAUGUGAGGUUGGUGACCUCGGUAGUUUAGGCAGCUUUGCAAAUCUGCGAUCUCCAAAGAAACUCACAUCUAGACUUCUUUUUAAAAAGGCCAAAAUAUUCUGCCAAAAAACCUUUAUUGCUUCCAUUUUUAGGAUGAUUCUUUUCUGGGUUUUUAGGCGUAGUUUUUUUGAAGCCUGAUUUUUCCCAGAGCAAUUCAGGUUCCCAAAAGGAAUAACAUUUUGUUUGAUUUUCCGAAGGUCGAUAUUUUGGAACAUUUUGGCAUUCACUCGUUUAAAGCAGGUACUGUGAGCCAUUUAAGUUUAGUACCGUUGAGCAAUAAAAAAAUUUUAUGGAGAAAUACUUCGCCGAAGACAGAAAAGAAAUAAAGUUCAUCAAAUCAAUUUUAAUCAUAAACUAUAAAGUAAGGUAAUCAAUAACUAACUUUUUCGACGAAUUGUUACAGUUUUUUGCCACCUUCAGAAGUGCAUUUUUCAUUUCUUCACCGGAUUUUGAACCAAAACCAUUGUACCUAGUGUCCUGCAGCCCCAGGUGCUCGUUCCGCUGGAUUGUUUAUCACCGUUAAAGAACUACAUUUCUUGUUCGCUUCAUUCUAAUGCUUUCGUGAAUUUCGACUCUCAGGAUCUUCGUCCAGGAAACCGCAUUUUAACAACGAAUUGGCGUAACCUGAGGUCAUGUUUACAGGCACCACCACGAUGCACAGUGGUCGGAGGCCGGAAAAAAACCUCGAUUUUUCUUGUCAAUAUUUUUGAUGUUUUGCAUUUUUCCGAAGAUUCUCAAUCUGUAAAUGACCUAUUCCCAAAGUUUUCUGACAAUCGGCUGAGAUGAUUUUUAAUCGCACUUUGAAUGUUGGUAUAUCCGGCAGUUUUGAAGGUUUUCAUGUUUGAGAUCACAAUUUUUAGCUUAACUUCAAACACCAGCGUAACUCCCUCAGUUAUGAUCCGAUUUUGAUUCAACAAGUUUCAUUUUGAAGGGAAAUUUAUGUACUUUUUGGUUGAUUUUCAAGACUUGGCAAAAAUACAACCAAUUUCUCAAUCGAGGUAAAACAUAUUGCAGGGAUGCCAAAAAAACAUGUAUUUCUAAUUUCAUUUCUACCGUACAAUCUUGUGAAACAGUUCGAAACGAUCGGAUAACCAACAAUCAAUGGGAAAUAUAUUGUACUUUUCAGAUUUAUGGGUCACGUUUUGCACAUCAUUGCUCAUAGAGAGAUAUUUUGAAAUUAAAACUGAGGAGACGUAUAGUGGUCAGUUGUAAACUAUUCAGUUUCGUAUAUUUAAACAAAAUGAUUGACUGGGAAGUACAAUUGAAGUUUUUUCCAGUAGUCUCGAGCAUUGUUAUAUAAAAUUGUAAACCGCUUCCAGUACUACAAGUUGCAUAAAGAGGGGAUAAAUUGAAUUGAGGAGAAAAAAAUAUAUCGUCUUUUAUAUUUUUAAUGACGAUAAAAUAAACUACCAUACGAUCUCAUAAUUUUCUUUAAAAGACCUCUCACUUGUCGUAGAAAGAUCUUGAAUUGCUCAAACGGCUUAAAAGCAAAAAUUUUUCAAAAUAAAAUGCGACGAUUUUUACAUCACCCUAAUUCAUAAAGGAGUAGCCCACAAACCAAACAAAAAAAUACGAUUCUAAAGAUGUAGAUAUUGAGAUGAAUACAAAAGCGGUUCCCCUACUAAAACAUGAUUUAAAACAUGAUUGGAGCAAAAAAAAUCUGAUCAUGAAAAAGACCUAACGGCACUUUUGGUGCGUAAAUUGCUAUUUUAAACAUUUUUUGACAUCAGAAAUGAGUUCACCACCCCAAAAUUGUAAUACAGUGGAAUUUCGAUAUCACGAUCAAAAAAAGAUCCUCCCGUGAAUCCAACGAAACUGUGGACUUGGUAAAAUGAUAAAAAUUAGAAUUUUUCGUUAGAUUUCUCUGCUAUGUAACAAAAAUUACUAACCUUCAUUAUUUCCUCGAAUCCUAAGUUUCGCUAAAUUUACUGGAAAGUGUUUUUUUGUCCGUGAUAAAAUCAAAAUUCCACUGUAAUAUGUAAUUUCCAAUCAUUAAAAAAACAUUUUUAGGUUUUUUUCGACCUUUGUUCAGAGAGCUGCCACUGUGCAAUGUUGUCCUCGGAGGAAACUCAGCUUUCGGUACAGAGGUACAGGAGCUUGUGAACUGAUGAGAUUAUGUAAGAACGUGCAGGAACGGUGAUCGUACAGAACGUUCAAAGGAUAAAAAGUUUCGAAUACAACGAGAACAAUGAUCCAAUCACAUGCGAGCAUUCCUAGCACAGACGAAGUGAAUGGACACCAACCAUUUCGUGAUAUUCUCUGUAUCAAUAUCAGGAAAAAAAUGGCAGAGUUUCUCCGUUCCAAUAGGUCAAUUUAUGUUUGCUUCCAUGAACUUAGACUAAUUUGAUGUCUUGAAGAUAAAGAUUCUUCGAAAAGUUUAAAACAACCCGUCGUCUUGACCAUUUUCUUAACCUGCUGUUAGAGUGUAGCAAAAACUGAUGUCUUGAAAAAAAAACAUUAACAUUUUAAGAGCAUCAGUACCGUACAGUGUAUGUGGAGCAGAGCGUCGCAGGUCUGUCUAUGAUUGCGGUACAAUUAUUUUCGUACAUUUUAGCGCUACACAGCGGUACUAUUCGUUUUGCAGCGGUACACUUCUAUUCGUUCAUUUCUGUUCUUGUGCAAUCGAGGAAAAACUUCAACGCUGCUGCUGAUGGCGAUUAAAAGUUUAUCUCACGAAUAUGAUCGACAAGCAUUGAAUAUUUUUGCAACGGUUAUAAGUUAUUGUUGUUUCAUUUCAUCUUCGAUAUUCAGUAAAUAAUCGUGAACGGCAUAAAAUCGAAAGACUAAAUUCCUACAUCUACAAACUUUUAGGAGAGUAAGAGCCGGCGAAUGUUUGUGAAUUUUUAGUCCAUUUGCUCAACCAACCUACCCCCCCCCCUCCUCGCUUCAUGCGUUACGGAAUUUGAGUACGACGCCUCUUACCACACUAUUUAUAACAUGUAAAGUAACAAACGAAAAUCAGAAUACAUGAAAAUGGCACAAAGCUAAGAAAGGCAAACAAACAUUGUCGCAGGUCACAAAAUUGUCCAUCAUUUAACUAUCUAACAUAUUGGUUAUUGUAAUUCAUCGUAUGAUUUGACAGUAAUUAUUGUUUAAAAUCUUCCUAUUCCUAAAUCACAGUUUGGUUUAAGUUUCCGCGGAAUGUACCCGAUUUAGUGUGGUAGGACGAAAUCCUACGUCAAAAAAGCGUUGUUUUCAUUUUCAAUCAUCCUCCAUUUCAAAAUUCUAGGUUCAUGCAGACGGCCUUCCGGCAAUUAAUAGGAACUUUCGCAACGACAGACGAAAAUAUGCGAGUAGGCAUGUUUUCGAGCUCUAUCUUCGUUUUAUUUCCCCUCCCAGUUGGUCUCGAGGUACGAUACUGGUCUAACAAACCAGUUGUCGUAGGUUCGAGUCUCAGCUCGGGAGAGGUACUGUUAAUGUCAGUUGGAUUGUAGCGCUAACCCCGCAAUUGUCCUGUACACUCAACAGUUGGCUGCGAAGUCUGUGUAUAAGAAACAGAAGGUCGAGUUCCGAAUAGGAAUGUAGCCCCAAGGCUUUGCUUUGCUUCGUUUUAUUCGUCAAUUCCUCCUUAUUUUUCGCGACAAAAUUUUUGGUGUAGAUCUUACGCUUCAAAUUUGACCAGAAAUUCUCAACGCCGCUAGGGGACAUUGAGCGGGUUUGCCGACUUGCGUACCACAUCGAUAUUCAGCCGCUCCAUCCCUCCAUCGAUCGAAGCGAUCUUCGAGAAGUGGACUGACGCCAGAUCCUGUCAGAACACUGCGUCUUCGUCCUUAUGGUAUAUCUUGAUGAACAACGCAACUUUCGGCAAGCACUUUAUACUAUGAAUUCCCCCGUUCGUGGCUAAUUUAGAGCGAAAGAAGAGAGGUUUUUCUCUCCCCUUCUCACUGAUUGUCAGCCACAGUAGCACCUUCUUAGGAAACUUAAUGUGUGGGGGAAGAAAAAUACGAAGUGCCCUGCCGGUCGUUGCCAUUCUGGGUAAGAUAGGUCUCAUCGUCCAUCUCUAUCGCCACGUCGCCAUUCACCGGGAAAAUCGACUUGACCAUCUUAUUCAGCCGCUGCCGCUGCGUCAUUGCCUGCAACUCCAAAGCCAGUGGACGGGACUGCCGUCUCCUGACAUAUAUGUUCAUGUUCGCCAGGUACUUUUUCACUGUUUGGCCGGUUGCAUCGACCUACCGGCCAAACGCACGCAGCGAUGUAACCAAUCCCUCGGUCUUCCUCUUCAGCUUUUUAUCGGUCAGGCUUGUCGGCCGUCCGGAACCGGGCUUUCUUUUAAUGCUCUAAUUGUUUUCCAAUAAUGCCAUGUUGAAGAUGGCGGAAUGGGUGUAUCCAGCGUCCACAAAGUGCCUCACGAUGUCGUUCUUUGAACGCGCACACUUCUGAACGGGGUAGUUUCUCUGUUUUCGCCAUGACGAUUAGAGUUCGACUGAUAGAGCUGUCAUUUUUUUCUGCUGACUCGUGGAUUACUAUUAUUGACGCUGCGUGGGUAGUUUCGUCACAGCGUGUAAAGGUAAACUCAUGGAAAAUCGGCAAUUUUUAUCUAUUUUACUUGUAAACACUAGUUAUACGUAAGGUAUCGAACGUCUUCGGCAAUGGAUUUCUUCGGCAGACUUUUGCAUACCCUACUCAAUUUGGGAUUCUUUUUUGCUCUCCUUUCGUAGCCUUAAAACCCAUUUUUUCCGAUUCUAAACUUAAUUUGGAAAAAAUAUUGAUUGACUUCUGUUGGAAUUCAGAAAUAUUUUGUUAACAGUUUGGAACUCAAUUUGGGAUUAUUUUCAUGUUUAGCCUUUUCUGACCUUGAGAAGUAGUUUUUCCUACCAUUACAUUGUGGUCCCCCCAUAGCACCGUGGGGCGACUCCAUACAAAGGCUGGCCAAGCAAAAAAGUGUCGAUAAACGCGACAAAAACUUGGUAUUUACAUGAUUUUGGGGCGCUGAACACGAAUUUGGCAUUAUUUUUGUUUGGGGCCGUCCAUAAAGGACGAAACCCAAUUUUUAAUAUUUUUUGGCACUUUUUUCGUUUUUUAUAGAAUUAUAUGAUCUUUGACCACAAGUAGUGCCACUGGGCGUCCUCCCCAUUGAAAAAAAUACGUUAUUUAUGGACGACCCCUCGAACUAAACAAAUUUUGCCUUAAUAAAUAUAUUUUUUUGAAUAAACUAAAACAACAUAAGAAAUACAAACUAAUUACAAAUUGAAAAAAUCAUCAACAGCAUCAUCAUCUUUGGCUGUGAUCGCUUAAAUCUCGUGUUGAAUUGUUUCCAGAAAAUUUGAAGUUCAUUAUACUUAUCAGCAGGAAAAAUGUCUUUCGCUGCAAUUUUCACUUCUUCUAGUAAUUUUCGAUGUUUCAUUGUUUCAUAUAUACGUUAUCUUCCUAAUCUGGUUUCUAUGGUUGAAAGAGGGCAUUUAAAUACAUGUAUAACACCAUGAAUUGACAACUUACUAGACAUUGAAUUAGGUGGUGUCGCUGAAGUUGAAGGCUCCAUAAUAAAAUUUAACGACUUUAUGAAUUUGAAAACCAAGACACUGGAAUGACACAACGUUCUAAAUGAAUACGAAAAGAUGCGGAGCGCGACGACUGUUCUUGGUUUUUUUUUCUCAUAAAGCAAAAUGUGUGCUUUACUUUUGUAUGCAAACGAGUGCGAAGCAAAAGCAAUCUUCAAACGGGCUAUUGUUAGCCGGAGUUUGAUGGUAUGAAUUUGCUGCUAGUAUUUAACACUUCCAUCAGUUUAGCGAAUUUCAUGAUCAUAAAUUGAAAAGAGCUGAAUGUUUUUAAUAUUGUUUUAAAAUUGCAGUAAGUGAUAAAGUUUGACAUAAUUAAAAGUUUCAUAAAGAUUUGUUUAUAAGCUAUUUUCUUUUUUAACACUUAUUUUAUAACUUUUAAUUGAUAAGUUUUGUAAUUUUUACCCAAAUUUUUGUUUUAUUCUUACGGAUUGAGCUCGAUAUCAUAAAUUUCCAUUAAUGGGGUAUCAUGGUUAUGAUUAAAAUUAACCCUGGUUGAAAUUUCAACCUCAAAAAAAUGAAAAAAAACUGCUAUCGCUUUUUUCACGAAAGUGACAAUUUGCGCAGUUUUGCGCAGCAGCAGACAGUAUGCAUGUGAAAGCUUACGUUUUUACCUAAAUUUUGAAUGUAGUCACAACCGUGGCAAACUGCGGCAACUAAACUUUUAAGCAACUUUCCUACAAAAAAUCAUGUUGUUUUUAAUUUUUUCUAGUGUCAGGCCUAUUAUGACCAAAUUUUACAAUAUCUAAUGAAAAGGGUUUGUUUUGCACAAUAUUUACAACAACUUUUUCUUUGACGUCAAAAAAAUGCAAGCUAUCAUUGAAGCUACAGAGCGUUUCAAAGUAAUGUACUUUUUUUCAAAAAUAGACAAAAAACGUCAGUUUGCCAAGCUUUGAAAAGUCAUAAAAAGUUCAGAUUUCAUGAUAUUGCGCCCAAAUUUUGGAUUUAGACACUUGAAUGUUAUAGCAAUAAAGGAAAAAUAUUAUGAAACAGCUGACGAAAAAAAAUUUUUUUUUUGGCUGAUGGCCAGCGAUUCCCCACUGUGCAUAGGUCAUAAAGGCAAAAAUCAAAUUUCGUUAUUUUGGUAUUUUUUCACCUCUCAGCGUCCUUCGUAGUCUGAAGCUAACAAUGGCAUCAAUUACUAACAAUGGCAUCAAUUACGAAGGAAUUGGUAAUACAUUUUUGCCAAAGGUCAUAUAUCUCCAGGACUUUUCCUUACAAAGUUAUAUCAAAUUUUAGCUUAUUUUUUCGAUAACUUCAAGAACGUAUAGGUUAAAAAGGGUCAACCUGGAAUUAUUUUUGACCUUAAGAAGAGUUUUUUUCGCUAUUUUGAAUUUAAUUUGGUAAAAAUUUGUUGGACUCAGGUUGUUUUUCUGCCUGCAAUUUGUCGAUUUCUCUAAUUCAAUUUUUUUAUUUUUACAGUUUUCCUGGUUUUUAGAUGCGUUUUUUUGCCAUUCUAAGGUCAAUUUCCUUUGGUUACCUUCGUUCGUUCGUUUUUUUCUGACCUUUGAAAACAUUUUGUUUUUUUUUUUUUUUUGCGUCGCUAUUCCGAGGUCAACUCAAAAAUACUGUUUUAUUUUAUUUUGUGUUUGAUUUUUCAUGCAAAAUCAAAAAAUUUUAUUUCUUUAUUUUGUACAUCCUUUAAUUUUUCUGAGCGGUCUUUGAAAACGUUAAUUCACCAUCCUAAGAUCAAUUUAGGAAUAGAUGUUUUUUAAAUUUUCUGUUAUUUAGAAACUCCUUUUCGCUGUUUGGAGCUUAAAGUGAAACGGGACGUGGUCGCGAUCAACUCGAAUUUUGCAAUCUAUUUUUUUCUUGAUUCAUAAAGACUACGUAGGGUAAUUGACGGCUUCGUCAGGUGAUAUGCAUUGUGGGCAGGAUACAGUUUGCCAAGCUCCACUGCUUUUAUUCCACUUAGAAACUCAAUGUAUGUGAACUUACCUUGAACGUUGAAGUUUUUCUGUUCGCAUGAAUGAAUCACUUCAUCUAAAACUCAAACAUAUUUAUUGCUAUUUAACAAAAAUUAAACUGCAACUCUAACACAUCCAGAAAUUUCACCCGGCCGAAGAAAACAUUCACGAAACACAUCUUCGCCGCUAGCAAUAUUUGGUUACGAUUUUCUCGAGAAAUAUACACUCGUUCACUCUCAAAUAUUCUUAGUUCUGUCGCACUCGCGAAAGCAAAUAACUCAUGCACUUUUAACACUCACAAUUAAUGAAGGAUACGUGAUGAAUAAAGUUUAACUUCACCUAACACAUCCAACAGGUUGGUUUACUUCGUCAGCAGACAGCACGGCAUGUUUGCUGCUGUUUUUGUUGCCAGAACAAAAGGAGUUGUUUCUGUUGCGAAACGUGCCGUAUCCUUUUUUUGAAUAGAGUUUAUGACAUGUGAAACCAUGUUUUGAUGUUGAUUGAAUUGCAAAAACUCUUAUUGCUAUUUGCAUAUUCCUACACAAAGAAACUACUUUAUAAAUCAAAUAGAUUUAGUAAUCAGAUUUAGAGAACAAACAUAUUUUGCGGUAAAUUUGGAGCCAUUGCACACGCUGCGCACUGCGCAAAUAUCUCGAUCCCUUUUGUUCUCACACAGUAAACGACAUCAUAAACAAUGAUGGUGAUCGGCGAUAAAAUCGGCGAUAAACAUGCGAUUUUUUUCAGCGUGUGAGUCAACUUCGUCUCUCAGUCGGUUCUAACAUUCAUCGUACGAUAUGCCAGUCCGAGUGAACCAAUUCGGAGAUUCGCUGAGAUAAUUCAUUCUCUCUCAGAGAUGGAAUUUCCAGUAGCUCUACAAACAGAUGAUUCACUCUUCGCUGAUAGAAUCCAAGUGUCAAAACAAAAGAGAAGAAUCGCGAGACGAUAAUUAUCGGAAAAGAGAAGUGAUUGCGAUCGCUUGGACAAUUAUCCCCCUUUCUUUCUGAGUCGCAAGUGUUGACAGUAAAAUAAGUUUUUCAUCGUUUAACACAAUGUUGCUUGCUGUUGUAAUUGUCAACUCAAUGUUCCUUUGUUCGUCGGUUUUUAUUGCAUCGAAGGUUUGUUCGCUAAUGUAUGUUGGCCGAUAUCGAAGUUUAUUUUUAAACAAGCAAAAACCUGCACACAUUUUGGAAAAAAAAUCCGCAAAUAUAAACAGAUUCGAAAAAAGUUUGCAAGCUACGCAAAAAGUAACAACAAAUAUGUGCCAUUUGAAAAAAAAAACAAAAUCGGCCACGGACUCUGAAAAUCUACAUUUCACAGACAAUUCUGUUAAUCUGGUGUCCUUGUUUUGUGCUGCCUUUUAAUUGGUUCAACGCUUGCAGUUUUUUCCCUCUCUGGUUUUUUGGUUUGUGAUACAAUUUUACGAUUGUCGGGACACUCUCACUCACAAGCAGCGAAGGAAAAAAAUCACCUCUAGCGAUUAAUGAAUACAUAUAAACAAGCAUAGGAUGCGUUGACAUCGUCGUCAGUAUGCGAAAAACAAUGUAUCGGUGCUGGUGCUACUCUUUUCGCUUUCCUCUUUACGAUAUAUUUCUAUUCAUUAGUGUACACCACAAUACGUGGUUCUCAAUGUGCACAACUCGGUAUAUGAAGUUAUUCGUCUCUGUUACAGAGAGCGAUCAGAACUUGUUAUAUCCUCAUUCUUUUGACUCUUGAAUAUGAUUUUUUGUCAGAAAAAGAAAGAAAAUGACAGUGUAUGCUCUCCUACUCUCGCCUAAACUCAACCGCUGCCGAAGUAGUUCCUUCCCCCACACAUUCCCUCUCACCACACCACACCUCAGCUGCUGUUGCUUUCAACGGCUCAUAUACAAAAAUACAAAUAUGACAUCACUAGUAUUAAUUUGCACGUACAACUUAUGGCGUCAGAAUUCUACUUAUAUUUUGAAUGGCGGAAUAACGAAGAACGUUUAUUUGCAAUUCAUAGCAAUGAAACUAGAUGAAACGAGUAUAGUUUUACAAGCUUUCUUUCCCUCUCU
Molecule: long non-coding RNA, 9548 nt
Organism: Wyeomyia smithii (pitcher-plant mosquito)
Lineage: Eukaryota; Metazoa; Arthropoda; Insecta; Diptera; Culicidae
Exons: 2
Source: RefSeq, a predicted model, not a curated record